UAACUACUGGAAACGGUAGCUAAUACCGCAUAACGUCGCAAGACCAAANAGGGGACCUUCGGGCCUCUUGCCAUCGGAUGUGCCCAGAUGGGAUUAGCUAGUAGGUGGGGUAACGGCUCACCUAGGCGACGAUCCCUAGCUGGUCUGAGAGGAUGACCAGCCACACUGGAACUGAGACACGGUCCAGACUCCUACGGGAGGCAGCAUG
RNAcentral lists this ribosomal RNA (208 nucleotides) under uncultured bacterium. Its description in RNAcentral is "partial 16S ribosomal RNA". It matches the Rfam family "Bacterial small subunit ribosomal RNA", at positions 144 to 353 of the family's 1533-position model. The record is from RNAcentral.